This 69-nucleotide transfer RNA is filed under the name Phascolosoma scolops. RNAcentral describes it as "tRNA-Asn". Lineage: Eukaryota; Metazoa; Annelida; Sipuncula; Phascolosomatiformes; Phascolosomatidae. The record is from RNAcentral.
UGAACAGAAGCUAUUAUUUCUUCGCGCCUGACUGUUACUCAGGAGAUAGUCACACUAUGACCUGUUCAU